Molecule: ribosomal RNA, 326 nt
Filed under: uncultured eukaryote
Lineage: Eukaryota
Description: partial 18S ribosomal RNA
Rfam family: Eukaryotic small subunit ribosomal RNA
Source: RNAcentral
CCCUUAGAUGUCCUGGGCCGCACGCGCGCUACACUGAACGGAUCAGCGCGUUUCCCCUUCCCGAGAGGGACGGGUAACCUGCUGAACCCCGUUCGUGGUAGGGAUCGGGGCUUGCAAUUAUUCCCCGUGAACCAGGAAUGCCCAGUAAGUGCAAGUCAUAAGCUUGCGUUGAUUACGUCCCUGCCCUUUGUACACACCGCCCGUCGCUACUACCGAUUGAACGUUUUAGUGAGGUACUCGGACUGAGCCUCAGAAGAUUCACGUCUUUUGUGCUGCUCGGGAAGAUUCCCAAACUUGAGCGUUUAGAGGAAGUAAAAGUCGUAACA